This 21-nucleotide microRNA is filed under the name Macaca fascicularis (crab-eating macaque). Its description in RNAcentral is "novel_miR102-3p". Lineage: Eukaryota; Metazoa; Chordata; Mammalia; Primates; Cercopithecidae. The record is from RNAcentral.
UGACCUAGUGGAAGUUACCUU